UUUUUUUUCCUGUCAGUUGAAUUUGGGAAGGAAGGAACAAGCAAAAAUUUUUACCUUCUUCUUUCAAUUGGACACUAUGGACGGAAAUCCAGGAGAGCUGACCUUGCCUUCUUCCCUCCACAUACAGGAACUGCAGACACUGCAGAUAAAACAGAGCCAGAAUGCUUUGCUGCCAGCUGGACCUUUGACCCAAACCCCAGUGUGACUGUCUCCGGUGCUCACUCAACUGCAAUGCAUCAAUGAAGGAAAAAAGAACUGAGCAUCGGCAAAAAGCUGAGGAUGACAAGCUUAGGGGAUGAAAGGCUGCCUUUUCCCCCCCUUCUGAGCGUUUCUGACAGCUCCCCGCUGGGAGAAACCAACAUGAUGAAAAGACAAAGAAUACUGGAGAAGAGAGAGGGUGGGCAGAGCCACAACCUCAUCCUCCCAGUGGUUCCUCUUGAGUUUGAUUUGACAAGAUGCCUUCCCACCCAGGUAACCCCAUGGGAACGUGCCAGUACCUCACCCCACGACCUCACUGAGUCCUCACAAAAAAUCCAGGGUGCAGAUUUUUUUCCCCACUUGGAGAUGACAAAUUGAAAUGCAGGAAGGUUAAAGAGUUUGCCUGAGGUUGCUUAGAUAAUAAAAGAAUCUGGAUUAGAACCCAGACCUACCCAGCUCA
Molecule: long non-coding RNA, 658 nt
Filed under: Pan troglodytes (chimpanzee)
Lineage: Eukaryota; Metazoa; Chordata; Mammalia; Primates; Hominidae
Description: lincRNA
Source: RNAcentral